RNAcentral lists this ribosomal RNA (494 nucleotides) under uncultured bacterium. RNAcentral describes it as "partial 16S ribosomal RNA". It matches the Rfam family "Bacterial small subunit ribosomal RNA", at positions 28 to 507 of the family's 1533-position model. The record is from RNAcentral.
GACGAACGCUGGCGGAGGGAGGAAAAGAGGGAAGUCGAAAGGGGAAGCGACUUCCUUGGUGGAAGGGGUGGAUGAGUGGCGAACGGGUGAGUAACACGUGACUAACCUGCCCCCUUCUUCUGGAUAACCGGUUGAAAGUGUGGCUAACAACGGAUAUUCUGGGUCUGUCGCAUGAUGGGUCUGGGAAAGAUAUUGUUUCGGUGGGGGAUGGGCUCGCGGCCUAUCAGCUUGUUGGUGGGGUGAUGGCCGAGAAAGGGGUGCACGGGGAGCCGGCCUGCGGGCCUCGACGUGACCACUGGGACUGCGACACGGCCCAGACUCGUGCGGGAGGCAGCAGGGGGGAAUAUUGCACAAUGGGCGCAAGCCUGAUGCAGCGACGCCGCGUGAGGGAUGGAGGCCUUCGGUGUGUCCCCCUCUGUCGCCAGUGAAGCAGGCCUGCGUCUUUGUGGGGUGGGUUGACGGUAGCUGGAUACGAAGCGCCGGGUCCCUACGUC